UGCAAGUCGAGCGGUAGAGAGAAGCUUGCUUCUCUUGAGAGCGGCGGACGGGUGAGUAAUGCCUAGGAAUCUGCCUGGUAGUGGGGGAUAACGUUCGGAAACGGACGCUAAUACCGCAUACGUCCUACGGGAGAAAGCAGGGGACCUUCGGGCCUUGCGCUAUCAGAUGAGCCUAGGUCGGAUUAGCUAGUUGGUGAGGUAAUGGCUCACCAAGGCGACGAUCCGUAACUGGUCUGAGAGGAUGAUCAGUCACACUGGAACUGAGACACGGUCCAGACUCCUACGGGAGGCAGCAGUGGGGAAUAUUGGACAAUGGGCGAAAGCCUGAUCCAGCCAUGCCGCGUGUGUGAAGAAGGUCUUCGGAUUGUAAAGCACUUUAAGUUGGGAGGAAGGGUUGUAGAUUAAUACUCUGCAAUUUUGACGUUACCGACAGAAUAAGCACCGGCUAACUCUGUGCCAGCAGCCGCGGUAAUACAGAGGGUGCAAGCGUUAAUCGGAAUUACUGGGCGUAAAGCGCGCGUAGGUGGUUUGUUAAGUUGGAUGUGAAAUCCCCGGGCUCAACCUGGGAACUGCAUUCAAAACUGACUGACUAGAGUAUGGUAGAGGGUGGUGGAAUUUCCUGUGUAGCGGUGAAAUGCGUAGAUAUAGGAAGGAACACCAGUGGCGAAGGCGACCACCUGGACUAAUACUGACACUGAGGUGCGAAAGCGUGGGGGAGCAAACAGGAUUAGAUACCCUGGUAGUCCACGCCGUAAACGAUGUCAACUAGCCGUUGGAAGCCUUGAGCUUUUAGUGGCGCA
Molecule: ribosomal RNA, 800 nt
Filed under: Pseudomonas lactis
Lineage: Bacteria; Pseudomonadati; Pseudomonadota; Gammaproteobacteria; Pseudomonadales; Pseudomonadaceae
Description: bacterial SSU rRNA
Rfam family: Bacterial small subunit ribosomal RNA
Source: RNAcentral